UCGGGAAUCUUGGACAAUGGGCGCAAGCCUGAUCCAGCCAUGCCGCGUGGAUGAUGAAGGCCUUAGGGUUGUAAAAUCCUUUCGUGGGGGACGAUAAUGACGGUACCCCAAGAAGAAGCUCCGGCUAACUUCGUGCCAGCAGCCGCGGUAAUACGAAGGGGGCUAGCGUUGUUCGGAUUUACUGGGCGUAAAGCGCGUGUAGGCGGGUCGUUAAGUUGGGGGUGAAAUCCCGAGGCUCAACCUCGGAAUUGCCUUCAAAACUGGCGACCUGGACUCAAGCAGAGGCAAGUGGAAUUGCGAGUGUAGAGGUGAAAUUCGUAGAUAUUCGCAGGAACACCAGUGGCGAAGGCGACUUGCUGGGCUUGUAGUGACGCUGAGACGCGAAAGCGUGGGGAGCAAACAGGAUUAGAUACCCCUGUAGUCCCUGAGCGGGCUGGCAAGGCGCAU
RNAcentral lists this ribosomal RNA (447 nucleotides) under uncultured bacterium. RNAcentral describes it as "bacterial SSU rRNA". It matches the Rfam family "Bacterial small subunit ribosomal RNA", at positions 355 to 825 of the family's 1533-position model. The record is from RNAcentral.